CGGAGGAAGGUGGGGAUGACGUCAAGUCAUCAUGGCCCUUAUGUCCAGGGCGACACACGUGCUACAAUGGCCGGCACAGCGGGAAGCGGAGGGGCGACCCUGAGCGGAUCCCUUGAAAGCCGGUCCCAGUUCGGAUUGCAGUCUGCAACUCGACUGCAUGAAGUUGGAAUCGCUAGUAAUCGCGGAUCAGCCAAGCCGCGGUGAAUACGUUCCCGGGCCUU
RNAcentral lists this ribosomal RNA (221 nucleotides) under uncultured Thermovirga sp. RNAcentral's name for it is "partial 16S ribosomal RNA". It matches the Rfam family "Bacterial small subunit ribosomal RNA", at positions 1164 to 1382 of the family's 1533-position model. Lineage: Bacteria; Thermotogati; Synergistota; Synergistia; Synergistales; Thermovirgaceae. The record is from RNAcentral.